Molecule: long non-coding RNA, 516 nt
Filed under: Citrus x clementina
Lineage: Eukaryota; Viridiplantae; Streptophyta; Magnoliopsida; Sapindales; Rutaceae
Description: Citrus clementina (C. clementina) long non-coding RNA (CCLE_LNC003620)
Source: RNAcentral
UUAUUAAUACUAUAGGUAUUUUGGUAAAUUGAUUCUCAGUCCUAUUCUUCAUUUCUAUUUAUUUUGCCAAGUAAACACAUCAAUGGCAUUCCAGCACAUUUCCAUUCUCAUUUAUUUUUGCCAAAUAAACAUUGAAAUCUUAUUUCCAUUCCUCAUUCUCAUUCCACUUCAUUCCCAUUUCAUGAAAUAAACACACUAUAAAAGUAUUAUCUUACUGGUAACCCAUGCCCGCACAGUGCUCAGGUUCUAAAAUAAUUUGGAGAAUGCUGCAGUAGUCCCUCAAUGUGUAUGAGCUACUCAAACAUAAACAUGUUUACUUUGGUGCACUUAAUUCAUCAACAUCAAGUUGCAAAUCCAAAUGCGAGAUAUAUUUGUGAUUAACACUAAAAAGUGUACGUGUAAUAAGGAUGAAAUUAUUAGUUUUUUACUUAAAGUGUUGAUUAAUGCGCGUAUAACUUAUAAAUUAUAUGAAUGCUCCCCAAAUAAAUUUAUGUGUUAAAUUAAUUCGUAAUAUGU